Molecule: transfer RNA, 74 nt
Filed under: Hyperthermus butylicus DSM 5456
Lineage: Archaea; Thermoproteati; Thermoproteota; Thermoprotei; Desulfurococcales; Pyrodictiaceae
Rfam family: tRNA
About the family: Transfer RNA (tRNA) molecules are approximately 80 nucleotides in length.
Source: Rfam by way of RNAcentral
GGGCCGGUAGCUCAGCCUGGCAGAGCGGCGGGCUUUUAACCCGUAGGUCCCGGGUUCAAAUCCCGGCCGGCCCG